Molecule: long non-coding RNA, 986 nt
Filed under: Salvia miltiorrhiza (redroot sage)
Lineage: Eukaryota; Viridiplantae; Streptophyta; Magnoliopsida; Lamiales; Lamiaceae
Description: long non-coding RNA (SMIL_LNC008941)
Source: RNAcentral
UGAAAGUCUAUUGCUGAGUUAGAUUGCUAAUUGGAUGCACAUUUUAUAUCAGGUUAUUUCCUACUAAUCCCUGCUCUUCACUAUUAAUCAGUUGUGGUCAUACUUUGUUAUAUCUUUAUUUCAAUUUCUAAAUUAUUUUUAUUAAGAAAAUAUAAUAGGCUAACAUGAAGAAUGGCUGUAGAAAAACAGUAUCUCUAAUAUUCCCAAUGAGUUGGUUCAUUUUGAAUGAGUAUAGUUUAUAUUUAUGUUACUUUUCUUAUGUUUUUACCUUAACUUCUGUUUGUUGAAAAAUGAACCUGUUACUUUCAAUGAGAAUUUCAAUGUAGAUAAAGUAUACUAUAUUAUUUUUUAUUCAAUUUCCUUCAGUUAGGUUAGGAUUGAAUGAUAAAUGAUUCUAUAGUUUUAGGGAUGAUCAGGUAUAUGUUCCAUCGAAGAAGUCAAGAAACAAGUUGUUAAGAUACUUCAAGAUGUUAGUUUUAUUGUAGAAACCAUCAAGGUAUGCUUACAUAUAGUGCAAAUUUUAUUUUCUUAACAAUAGAAUGUAUCUAUCUCUUUAUACUUUGAUCCAAUUUCUAGUAGUAGAUAUUGGUCUUGGUUUUGAAAUGUUUUCAUAUUAUUUUUGUUCUCAGGAUGACCGUUCUUAUUGGUCUAUCAAAUUCAGGAAAAACGACAAAUUUUAAAGUUGCAGCAAGAAGAAGGUGCUUGCCAUAUUAACUAAAGACACGGGUUGGAGAUUUUAUGCACAACAUGGCUUCAGAAGAAGAGUGCAACAUGCCAUCACUUUUUAGCACUAUAUAUAUUUUUUCUUUGAAAUUUUAGAUAUUUUUCUAAAUAGGUUGUUCGAUUAGUGCUACUAUAAAAGUUAAUGAAGUGAUGGACAUCUUGUUCCAAAUUUUUGGGAUCAUUGAUUUUUUUUAUUAUUAUUAAUAUAUGAUUUUUAUUGUAUUGGAUGUGUUUAAUUGUCAUUAUUUUUAUAUUUCCAAUUA